Molecule: long non-coding RNA, 712 nt
Organism: Eublepharis macularius
Lineage: Eukaryota; Metazoa; Chordata; Lepidosauria; Squamata; Eublepharidae
Exons: 3
Source: RefSeq, a predicted model, not a curated record
CAGCCAGCACAGUUCUUAUCGGCACUCAGAAACCACAGGCAUGCAUAAACAAUCUUGUUCUUCUCUUCAAAACCUCCAAUUUCCAUGCAAAAUCUCUACUCUUUCUCCAUACAAUUCUUUAAGCAAGCAGUUUACAGCGAUAUCACAGGGAGACCUUCUCGACUUCACUAAGUCUUAAGGAAACAUUUCCAUACAUCCAUCUUCCAGGAAAUACCUCUAGUUCACCUUCAAGCAACAACAGUGUCAAUACAAAGCUCUUCCAGUCUGUUUUUCAUCACCAAGGGUAUUGAUGAAGUAUUAGCCCAGAUAGACAUUCAACAGAAACAUCAUAAUCCAAUCAAACACGGGGAGUUUUCCCCCUCAGUCAACUCCCACAUAUCAUAGUGACAACAGACACCAGCUUAAAAGGAUGGGGAACUCACUGCCCAGAUACGUGAUUCAAGGAGAGUGUGUCUUCAAAAAAAAGAGAGAGAGAGAGAGAGAGAACAAACAGUAUAUAAUGGUUCGAAACCAGAGUGAUAAGGCUGGCAUUAUUAGCCUUUUCUUAAUCAGCCUGGAUCUUUUAAAUAUGCAGAGUAGCACUUGCUGGGUCUCAGGACUCAGACAAAAAAAGAGAGAAUCACGGAAAGCAACAGCAAACCAAAAAAUGUGCCAUGAUAAACUUACUAAGUCAGCAAAAUGAACUAUAUUAUAAUAACAAUAAAGGAAGAAU